Molecule: long non-coding RNA, 537 nt
Organism: Lotus japonicus
Lineage: Eukaryota; Viridiplantae; Streptophyta; Magnoliopsida; Fabales; Fabaceae
Exons: 3
Source: RefSeq, a predicted model, not a curated record
CAAUCAUUCAUUGUAUAAUUUCAUGCUUCCUUGAAUUGCCUCCAUACAAUUUAAUUUCUUAUCUGCAUAGACAAAUAAUAGAUAUGAAACAUUUUUGGUUUCUUCAAUGCUUAUUCUUCCUUGCAAUGCUUCUCAUCCAUCCUUCCAUUGCUGGCAGAAUGAAUCCUCCAACUCCUCCUGCACCAGCUGGCCUUUUCAAGGAUCAACCAGUAAGGUCCCCGCCGCCCCCGGUGUUGCUUUUCCUCCAUCCCUCAGUUGUUCACAGGUCACUGAUGACUCCUGAUGAGGAAGAAAGAGGCCGUGAAUUUGAUCUGAAGAAAAAGUCUCCGCCGUCGCCAAGUCGAAGCAGAGGUUCACGCCCAUAAAGUCUGCUUGCAGAGUGAGGAACUUAAACAGUUUCGUACUUCAAUGUAUUCUUCAGCCAUGUGGCUAGAAUUUUCUUUUAGGUGCAAGACUUAAGUGCACUUUGAUUCUUAAUAUAUUGUGAUUGUAAGACUUAAGUUCACUUUUGAUUCUUAAUAUAUUGUGAUUGUAGGA